GAGGAUAUGGCUCAAGUUGUAGAGCACAUGCUUAGCAUGCACAAGGUCCUGGGUUCAAUUCCCAGUACCUCCU
This 73-nucleotide transfer RNA is filed under the name Camelus bactrianus (Bactrian camel). It matches the Rfam family "tRNA". Rfam says of the family: Transfer RNA (tRNA) molecules are approximately 80 nucleotides in length. Their secondary structure includes four short double-helical elements and three loops (D, anti-codon, and T loops). Lineage: Eukaryota; Metazoa; Chordata; Mammalia; Artiodactyla; Camelidae. The record is from Rfam by way of RNAcentral. RNAcentral also lists the same sequence under 1 other name.